RNAcentral lists this ribosomal RNA (97 nucleotides) under uncultured bacterium. Its description in RNAcentral is "partial 16S ribosomal RNA". It matches the Rfam family "Bacterial small subunit ribosomal RNA", at positions 1386 to 1482 of the family's 1533-position model. The record is from RNAcentral.
CACACCGCCCGUCACACCAUGGGAGCUGGCUGCACCAAAAGCAGGUUGCUUAACCGCAAGGAGGGCGCCUACCACGGUGUGGUUAGUGACUGGGGUG